This 334-nucleotide ribosomal RNA is filed under the name uncultured Bacteroidota bacterium. RNAcentral describes it as "bacterial SSU rRNA". It matches the Rfam family "Bacterial small subunit ribosomal RNA", at positions 1161 to 1501 of the family's 1533-position model. The record is from RNAcentral. Lineage: Bacteria; Pseudomonadati; Bacteroidota.
AGUAGGAGGAAGGAGGGGACGAGGUCAAGUCAUCAUGGCCCUUACGCCCAGGGCUACACACGUGCUACAAUGGCGUGUACAGAAGGACGCUACUUGGUAACAAGCGGCAAAUCCUCAAAGCACGUCUCAGUUCGGAUUGAGGUCUGCAACUCGACCUCAUGAAGCUGGAAUCGCUAGUAAUCGCGCAUCAGCAAUGGCGCGGUGAAUACGUUCCCGGACUUUGUACACACCGCCCGUCAAGCCAUGGGAGUUGGUAGGACCUAAAGACAGUGGCCAAUUAAGGAGCUGUUAAGGGUUAGAUCAGCGACUGGGGCUAAGUCGUAACAAGGUAGCA